Molecule: long non-coding RNA, 340 nt
Filed under: Setaria viridis
Lineage: Eukaryota; Viridiplantae; Streptophyta; Magnoliopsida; Poales; Poaceae
Description: long non-coding RNA (SVIR_LNC005760)
Source: RNAcentral
GGCUACAACACUUCACUACUUUGCAUGCCGCUAUCACAGUUGUUCUUUUUAGAAUAUGCUACACAUGCUUUUGAUUAAGUAGGGGAAGGAGUUUUACAAGGACCUGGACAAGGCUUGCUGGUCCGCAUAUUACACUAAGCUUGCUUGCUAUCUCACGGUUGAAUUUCGCGACCUAAAACUAUCUCAACCAGGGACUUAGCCCAUAUUUCCCUUCGGCUCAGAUUUUCUGCACAAACGAUGCAGGCGUGUCAAGGCUGAUCUUUCACGCAGGCUGCGUUUUCUCCAAAUCGACUUAGGGUGUUGAACUGCUUCAUGUUCUCCUUAGCGAUCCUCUUGCGAC